GCACAGUCAAAGGAGAAACAGACCCAGAGAGAGAGAGAUGAAGAGUGAGAGACACAGAGAAACACUGAGGGGGAGAGAAAGAGGGAUUGACAAAGAAGGGAGGGGGACGACAACUGUGAAGCUCAACAUCGAGUGUGACACUGGAGAGCUUGAGGAAAGUGAGAUUGAGAUUGAGAAAGAGGAAAGGAGUAAAAAACUGCUGUCUCAGAGAGGCACUUCACACUCACUUCACCGCAAUUCCUGCAACCUGUUGAUCAGGACAGACAUUCACAUAGAACGACUGUAAAGCGUGCCUGCUGUUCAAAUGUGCUGUAAUAUUGCCACUGGAAUAUUGCCUUGAUCUGAGGUCUGCCACUGUGGACCGGCUCUAUUACAAAGGUCAGACGUAAAUAGUUCCUUUGAAUGGGAUGGCUUAAUUUCUGUCUGUCUUUCUGCCUGCCUGUCUGUGUGUUUGAUUUAGGAAUUAUAUUUCCACUCCUCAAUGAAUUACUGCAUAACUGCUUUGCCUCUACCUGUUUGUCUGCCUUCCUUUCCAACUGUCUGCUUACAGUAUGUCAUCCAUCUACCCUUGUGUGUCAUCUAUCAGUCUAUCAGUCUGUCAGUCGUCUGUCGCAGGGUGCUGCUGGCAGCACAGAGUGGGAAUAGGGGUCAUAAAAAGUUCUAGACAAGCAGCCGAGAGACGUAAUGGUAGUGGUGUAGCAAGGCCGGAGCCGUUCAAACAUUCCUCUCAUUGUUCAGAGGCCCUGUAAGUCUGUGUGCUCCCAAACCUCCAUGAAAGGAAGGGAAUCCAGCAGCUACUGUAGCUAACUCAUUUCAGAGGCGGUUGUCUGUCUUCCUGCUCGCCGUCCAGUCUGAUUCCCCUCUGGGGAUGUUGGUAUAGACCAAAUUGGGCAGAGGAAAGCAAAAAUGACGCUGAAGCACAGAGGACAAGAUAAGAAUUUGUUAAUUUAGCACCACGGGAGGGAUCUGUUGCUUUGCUCUUUAUGCGACUGACUGUGACUUAAGAUAACCUCUGCAUCAAAAGACAUGGGAAAAAGGGGAGAGAGAGGUGUUGUUAUUCUGCCUUUUACACUGAGGAAUCAUUAGAUUGGAAAACCUGACAGGGAAGGCCAAAUGGUUGAAUGGAUAGAGGAUUAGGUGGAGGAAAGAGGGAAUAGGAGGAGGAGAGAAGGUGGGGAUCCAGCCUUUACUUUGGUGGGGUGGCUGGUGGGUGGGUGGGUGUGCCCGGCAGAAAUCAGUAGGAAUGGGCCCAGGCUCAGGAAACCGUGGCGUAGUGGAAUAAAAGUGUGUGUGUGUGUGUGUGUGUGUGUGUGUGUGUGGAGUUUCUGCAUACAUUUGUGCAUGUGUGGCUCAGUGGCAGCAGGGCGGCUGUACACUAAGUACAGGGCUGGUAGUGGUAAGGGUGUUUGGCAAAGAAUCAGGCUGAGGAUAGGGUUACACGCAUUGGGCUACAGGGAGCGGACCGUGGGUUUGGGCUGGGCUCUUCACUGCUGAGGCUAGCUUUACAGCCCGAAGAGACCGAGCUUUUCACUUCUUUUUUUUUUUUUGUAAAUCUGGAGCUGGAAAUACUUUUUCAUUCUCAGACUAAUGUCCCACAUGUGGUGCGUUCCAUUGAUUCCAGGCCAGCCAAUGAACGUUCCCCUUUGAUUCAGGAAAACUGCAACAGAGAAGGCCCAUAGUAGUGCAUAGUCCUUGCUUGAAUGUCAGUGAAUGUCACGGCCUCAGCAAUAAUUACGCCCUCACGCGAAGCAAAUACAAUCUUACUCACACACGCACACAUAUGCAGACACAAACAUAGUCUGUCUGUUAGAGCCAGGGUGUGGUACUGCAUAAGGUGCGUGGGUUCAAAGAUCUACUAAAGAGGUAUCUGAUCAGUGGGAUGUGUUCUGCAUUUUCAGUUUUUUGACAGCUUUGCAGAUCUUAUGGUAGGGUUAAGGAAAGUGGCUGGGCAGAACUAGCAUCCACCCAACAGAUUUUAGAGGCCUAGGCCUUUGAAAGUUAGGUUGUUCUGCUACUGAGUUUGUAAUUGCACAGAUCAAAAACUGAAAACUUUGGAAAAAAAUGGAAUGUCACGUGAACUGAAGAAGAAAUGCUGCCACAGUUUCUGCUGUGUCAGGCAUCUUUCCUCGCUAGGCUCAUCUCUCCACCUACAGUUACUUUUCCACGUUGUCUUACUCUGUAAGCCACACUCUGCCUUAUCAUGGCAAGGUGUAAUGGAUACGACAGCAAUUAUGAGAAGCAAAUGUGGCAUAUUUAUACUUUAAGAAGGGAAUUCAUACCUUAUUGUAACCCUUGUGCUCAAAUGUUGACAUAAUGUCUUGAACUAAUGGAUGUUAGACAUAUCGAUUUCACAUGAAGCCGUGGUUGGAAACAAACCGCCGUCUGUAAAAUCCUCUGAUGCAAUGGAAAGAUAAAAAAUGACAUUUGCUUCAGUUUGAACUGCACAAUGGCAGGACGCAGCCGGUCUGUAGGUGGCCCGGCUCACUGUAUGCUCUGUGAAGCAGUUCACCAGAAGUGUGAAUGAUGUCAGAUUGGUGUGUAUUUGUAGUAUUCCUGCUGAGACAGGGUGAGAACCAAGCUAACGCACAUGCCAUGUUUGCCCGGCAGCCCAGUGACAUAACUGUGUGUUUAUUGAUAGCGAGCAUAUUAUGUGCAGAGAGGCAGAUUGUGUAUGGCAUACAAGCAUAUACAUUUCUUAGUGCAUCUGUGUGUGUGUGUGUACGUGUGUGUGUGUGUGUGUAUGUGUGUGCGCGUGCGUCCAAGGGCAUAGAGAGAGACAGAGAGAAGAUAUGUGUUGAAACAACAAGGGGUUGAGAUCCAGCUGUCUCAACAGAGGCUUUUCCACUUAACUGUGUGCCCUUGUGUAAACGUCAAUGUCAAUUCUGAAUACUUGCUGAAGGGGAGAGACACUCUGAGAAAAUAUCCAGUGGCCACGUCUACACUUGGACCUCCAUACGUCGUGUGCGUGAAUAUAAACUUGGUAGAACACACACUUCGCAUAAAGUGCAAACCCUAAAACCAUCAAAGCUCCCACACAUAAGGCCGUAAUCCAUGAAGACACUCUCUAAAAACAUUUUGACUUUAGGGUGCAUCUGCUGGCGAUUGACAUUCAGCGAUACACAUUUUGUUAUUCUACGUCUCCAUCAGGAUGCAACACGUUGGCACAAUUAUGAGCUGCCAACAAGUUGCAGCCCACAUGGCAGAACCUUAUGAUUAUUCCUAACCAGAAUAAACACCCAAUUUGAGUAGUGUGUAACAACAGGAUUGCCUGGCUCCGCUGUAGGACUUGAAAAAACAAGACAGGCCAAAUGCUAAAAGGGAGACAUGUUGAGAUCCUCACAGCGAGCGUUUGAGGUGAGGUGUUGGACAGCGUGCGUCAACCAGAAUGCCGUCAUUACAGGGGAAGGGAAGAAAUGAGCUCAUAGACAUUAAUGGCUGCGGGUUCGACGGGGGGAACGCAAAGGGUAAGAGAGAAACCGAUGGAAAAGAUGAAAAGGCAGAGAAAAUAACACAUGAGAUGAACCACUGCCAGAUGAAAGGAUGGCGGGCUAGAGGGCUUUAGGUUGAUGAAGGAGAGGAGUUAAAGAGGAGUUAGCACACCGUCUUUGAUGGGUGCUGGGACCUUAAGCGGCCUACUUUCUUGAGACGUCUUAUUGUGACCAUGUGGAGGCCAAGGGAUAUAUAAUGCACGUCUCAUAAAACAAAACUGAAAUUAAGGAGACGCUUACAACUAAAAUCCAACACAAAAUAUGUCAAGAUUCAUUUUUAUGUAGAUAUUUUAGUUUUCAAUGAACUGAGUGACAAAAAAAAACCUCUUUUGAAAAUAAUACCUCUGAUAGCUCUAAGAUUACACUAAUCUAGCUGGGGCCUCAAAAAUGCCCCUCCGUACUGUAAUUAUUCAUAAAAGAUAGCAGACAGGGGAAAAAACAACGGUUCCCAGUUGCACCAAAAUCAUAGUGUGCUUUGUGCGGUUAUAAUUUGGUGUUAUUGGUUGAUUGGACCACAGACUGAGAGAAAGAACAUUGGCCUGAAGGAAACUAGAAAGCAUCUGCACAUGAAACAGGGUUUUCCUUUUGUGUCAGGUUCAAGGCUGAUUUUAAGAUUUGCUUUAAGGCUGGAAUACAAAUGGCUUGGUUGAGUAGCAUUAAAAGUAUUCAACUUUCUUAAAUAAUAUGAAUAAUUUAGCGCUACUUUGGGAAUCUCUUUCCAAACUCUCAAACCAGACAUGGCUGCAGCCGAUUUGUGACAACAAUGAUACAGCGUUAGUGAGUUCACUGUGUCCCUGGCAAAGCUCUCCAGCAGGCCCACACUGACAACAGACAGACGGCUAAACUUAUUUAGAGUCGGGAGUUCCCCAAAAGUGUCCCACUGACUCAUACCUUGUACAUGGUGGAAUAUUUAUGCUGCUGAAAAUAAAGAGACUUCAGGAGGAUGGCAAGAAAAAGCAAUCAGCGUGGAUCUGGAGCGUGGACUGGCAUUCAGUUAUUUAAAUAUGUCCUAUCCAAACAAGUAAAAUUCAACAAAAAGGAAUUCAGAGUAAUAAGUUCUGCUCCAGUUGUAAUGAGUGUAUGUGCUUGUCCUUCUUAGGUCACAUGAAACAUUAUCAGAUAUCAUUUGACAGACAGUAAUGAGAAGCAAGAACAUGUAAAUACAGUAUCAGUUUCUUGACACAACAUGAAAAUUCCUGACAAUUUCUGAAGAGGUUUAGCAGUAACUUAGCAGCAGAGGAAACACAGCCCAGUGCUCUCCUGCCCUUUUUUUUGUUUGUUUGUUUGUUUCCACACAAGGCACAGAUAAAGCGGCAGAAGUGGAACAGAGCGGAACAAACGUCUUUAAAGGGAGUACCACUUGACUGGCCACUUCCUUCUAACCUAAUUCUCCAUUCUGUCAUCGAAAAGCUAUUUUUAUAAGAGGCCACGGGAAGUCUGGGAGUUGACAAGAACCAUGCACAUACAGGACACACAGUGCUGAGAAGGCACAGUGACUGUGACCUGUGAAUGACAAAGAUGUAGCUCAUUGGAUUACUGUGAUAAUUCAGUCUCUCACACAGAGGUAUAGAUGUGGGAUAGAGGUAACGGGCAACAAUAAGAUGGCAGCAGUCGGUAGCCUUUUAGAGGUGACAGUGAUUAAGGAGGCCUAUUAUGGUGUUUAUUUGUUUUGUUUUGCAUGCUUUGAAGUCUCCCUCUCACCACAAACUGUAUAGUCUCUGUUGGCCAGGGGAAUUCCUGGCAGAGUGAUUUUUGAGACUACAGGACUGAAUCACAUUGCCAGGGAUUUCCAAUGGCUGACAUGAAGAAAGCAAGUUCUUUUUCUCACAAACGCAGACACACACACAAACACUAAUUUGCUAACUCACACACAGUCACGCCCAUGUUUCUAAUUUGCAUACUCGCACACAAACACACCCAUCUCUUUCCCUGUCACGAACAGACGUUCGUAUGACCUGGCUGUGCGGCAGCAGGACUUAACCCACAUGUGAACAGUGAGUGUCUGCUAUGUUCACAGUGGUUAAGUUCUGCCGCCACAGGGCUGCAGCCUGCAGGGGGAGAGUAAAGGUCAGGGAGGGGCCGCACUGCUUCAAACCACUGCUCUUCACAUCAACAUCAGACUUCUGACGAGCAUGAUAGCAUCUCCUGCAAAAACCUGCUCACCUCUGCUGAAUAGAGCCAUUUUGCAUCCUCUAAAAUUCUAACUAAACUCUUUAUAUAUAAAGUGGGUUUCCAUCCACCUGUUUUUUAUGAGCAUUUUAACUUUCAAUGAGGAGACUGUAACCGUCCUCAAAUCACAUGCAACAAACACAAAUGCCACAUUUUCCUGACUGGACAAUUAAUGCCACGACUGCCCAAAUCCUAAUAUUUGUUUAGUAGAUGGAAACACGCAUAAAAGUGCAUUUUCUUUUGCAGAUUUUCUGGAAAUUGGGUAAAAAUCUGUACUCAAUUCAAUUGGAAACUUGACUACAGUGUAGCUCAGUGACAUUUAACAUGUGAACACUAUAAAAAAGCACUCUCUUUUUAAAACAGCCUGAUGUCAAUAAAGAGGCAAAAACGUGCUUCUCAUUUGCUAGACUGAUUCUUGGACCUUCUUUUUAUGGUCCCACCAUACUUGAGACUCACACCUAAUCACUUCUACCGUGACAAUGUGUUAGGUCGAGUCCGUUUGUGGUUCACGGAUGACUCAUUUUUGAGUCGUGAAACUAAAAAUGUGGCCAAGAUGGGUGUAUGGAAGCAGGUAUCACGGUUUAUAGGCUUAUGGUAAUUACUAGUAAUCUGUUGAAUUAGCUGAAAUUGUAUGGCUUCAGUGUCAGUGUCUGUUAAAUGUCAACUGUCUUGUUAGUGUUGAGGGCUGCACCUGUUCUUGUAGGGCAAGGAGUACGUCACCUUAUACCAUCAUUUGUAUCACCGGCUAUCAUUGUCUCUCAGGGGGUAGCAAGUGUGGGACUUUGCAUUCAUAUUUUCUUUUUUCUUCCACUUGUUGAUUUCUGCAUGAGCGUCAGUGUCUGUUUGUUUGACUUGUGUGUGUGUAUUGUCUGACUUUCCUGUAUAUGUGUGUGUGUGUGUCUGUCUGUCCCCCUGCUGGGUCGGUCUCCUGUGCCUGCUGUGCUGAUAAUCAGUGUGUGACGUUGGCUGGCUCAGUUCAGCAGGAACAGGGGACUGGUCUCAUUUCCACACACACAGUACACACACACACACACACACACACACACUGUGCACUUUAAUACCACUAUAAUAACUGUAGCCUGUUAUGUCGCCUUUUAGUCUGGAUGUGUACAUGCAUUUUUAAAUAAAUCUAUUUUGAAAUAACUGACAACAUUGUUAAAGUCAGUUUUUGUGUUAAACAGUGAUUUGUCUCGCUGAAUUCCUAGCUGCAACAUUUUUGUACAUUCUGUAAUGAAACACUUUACUUGGAUUUAUGUCUUCUGUCUCAUAUUAUGCACCAUUAAAAUAUACAAUUUUCAUGAAACCAUUUAAACUAUAUAAUUCAUGUGAAAAUUUAAAUUUAAUUAGACUUUGAAAUGUGUACCAUUUGUAAUAAAAUAUUUUUCCAGAAGAUCUGCUGUAAGUUUUGCUUUUGAGUUUUUGAUGAUUUAAAUUCAAAAUGGCUUUGUGUCGUUUUUGUUUAUUGUGUCUAUUAUUGUGUUGUUGACACCAUGUUUGUAAAAAAAAAAAAAAAUUAAAUACAUGAGGGCCAGAGAUUUCUUCAAAUGUGCCUUUGCUUUUAAAACCAAAAUGUAUAAAAUAAAUAUAAAGUUGAUAUUACUGUGUGUGUUUUCAACAACAUUAAAGCUUUUUGAAAAACAG
Long non-coding RNA from Micropterus salmoides (largemouth bass), 7298 nucleotides. RefSeq lists it as uncharacterized. The record is from RefSeq and is a predicted model, not a curated record. NCBI's taxonomy places the organism in Eukaryota, Metazoa, Chordata, Actinopteri, Centrarchiformes, Centrarchidae. The transcript has 2 exons.